GAUGAACGCUGGCGGCGUGCCUAAUACAUGCAAGUCGAGCGAACAGAUAAGGAGCUUGCUCCUUUGAAGUUAGCGGCGGACGGGUGAGUAACACGUGGGUAACCUACCUAUAAGACUGGGAUAACUUCGGGAAACCGGAGCUAAUACCGGAUAACAUUUAGAACCGCAUGGUUCUAAAGUGAAAGAUGGUUUUGCUAUCACUUAUAGAUGGACCCGCGCCGUAUUAGCUAGUUGGUAAGGUAACGGCUUACCAAGGCGACGAUGCGUAGCCGACCUGAGAGGGUGAUCGGCCACACUGGAACUGAGACACGGUCCAGACUCCUACGGGAGGCAGCAGUAGGGAAUCUUCCGCAAUGGGCGAAAGCCUGACGGAGCAACGCCGCGUGAGUGAUGAAGGGUUUCGGCUCGUAAAACUCUGUUAUUAGGGAAGAACAAAUGUGUAAGUAACUGUGCACAUCUUGACGGUACCUAAUCAGAAAGCCACGGCUAACUACGUG
Molecule: ribosomal RNA, 497 nt
Filed under: uncultured bacterium
Lineage: Bacteria
Description: partial 16S ribosomal RNA
Rfam family: Bacterial small subunit ribosomal RNA
Source: RNAcentral